This 492-nucleotide ribosomal RNA is filed under the name uncultured bacterium. RNAcentral describes it as "partial 16S ribosomal RNA". It matches the Rfam family "Bacterial small subunit ribosomal RNA", at positions 29 to 507 of the family's 1533-position model. The record is from RNAcentral.
AGUGAACGCUGGCGGUAGGCCUAACACAUGCAAGUCGAACGGCAGCACAGUAAGAGCUUGCUCUUACGGGUGGCGAGUGGCGGACGGGUGAGGAAUACAUCGGAAUCUACUUUUUCGUGGGGGAUAACGUAGGGAAACUUACGCUAAUACCGCAUACGACCUACGGGUGAAAGCAGGGGAUCUUCGGACCUUGCGCGAUUGAAUGAGCCGAUGUCGGAUUAGCUAGUUGGCGGGGUAAAGGCCCACCAAGGCAACGAUCCGUAGCUGGUCUGAGAGGAUGAUCAGCCACACUGGAACUGAGACACGGUCCAGACUCCUACGGGAGGCAGCAGUGGGGAAUAUUGGACAAUGGGCGCAAGCCUGAUCCAGCCAUACCGCGUGGGUGAAGAAGGCCUUCGGGUUGUAAAGCCCUUUUGUUGGGAAAGAAAAGCAGCAGGUUAAUACCACGCUGUUCUGACGGUACCCAAAGAAUAAGCACCGGCUAACUUCGUG